Molecule: ribosomal RNA, 468 nt
Filed under: uncultured bacterium
Lineage: Bacteria
Description: partial 16S ribosomal RNA
Rfam family: Bacterial small subunit ribosomal RNA
Source: RNAcentral
GACGAACGCUGGCGGCGUGCUUAACACAUGCAAGUCGAACGGAAAGGCCCUGCUUUUGUGGGGUGCUCGAGUGGCGAACGGGUGAGUAACACGUGAGUAACCUGCCCUUGACUUUGGGAUAACUUCAGGAAACUGGGGCUAAUACCGGAUAGGAGCUCCUGCUGCAUGGUGGGGGUUGGAAAGUUUCGGCGGUUGGGGAUGGACUCGCGGCUUAUCAGCUUGUUGGUGGGGUAGUGGCUUACCAAGGCUUUGACGGGUAGCCGGCCUGAGCGGGUGACCGGCCACAUUGGGACUGAGAUACGGCCCAGACGCCUACGGGAGGCAGCAGUGGGGAAUAUGGCACAAUGGGCGGAAGCCUGAUGCAGCAACGCCGCGUGCGGGAUGACGGCCUUCGGGUUGUAAACCGCUUUCGCCUGUGACGAAGCGUGAGUGACGGUAAUGGGUAAAGAAGCACCGGCUAACUACGUG